Haliotis rufescens (red abalone) is the source of this 444-nucleotide long non-coding RNA. RefSeq lists it as uncharacterized. NCBI's taxonomy places the organism in Eukaryota, Metazoa, Mollusca, Gastropoda, Lepetellida, Haliotidae. The transcript is spliced from 3 exons. The record is from RefSeq and is a predicted model, not a curated record.
GCGGUCAUGAGCUAGCGACAGACCCAAUACAGUUCCGGUAUAGCAGGCGCGAAUCAAUCCCUUAAAAUAUUCGCUCCGGGGUGCUUUCAAGGCUUACUCAAGGUUCCGAUCACUAUCGAUGGGCUCAAUUCAAUCCCUACAGUUUUACAUUAUUCUACUUCUCCUGUCCAGUUUUGGCAAACAGUUCUGAAACUUCCUGAUGUUCAUGUGACCUUCACCUUACCUGAAAUUAAGUACUAAGAUGACCGCAAGGAACUCUGGGUAGAGUGUGCGUCAGUCAGCAAAAUCACAGCCGAGGCGCUUGUCCAAUGGGAGCAGAGGCUCCACCAAUCAGCUUUCAGAAUCAACUUGAAUCCACCAAUCAGUGAGUAGAUCCCUAACCAACAACCAAUCAGAGGUAAGCAAUAUACUUUUUUCACCAAUCAGAACAUCUUAGCUUCUUUC